Non-coding RNA from Pelobates cultripes (western spadefoot toad), 236 nucleotides. Lineage: Eukaryota; Metazoa; Chordata; Amphibia; Anura; Pelobatidae. The record is from the annotation of a GenBank genome assembly.
CUACAACCUAGGACCCAGCUAAAACUGACCCAUUCAUCCCCACUUCACAGGGAGGACCUGGGAGGCAGACCACCUGACUCAUAAGCCUAUACAUUCUUUAUAUGUUACUACUCUCUAUGUUGGACUUAGCCCUCUGUUAAAUGUUGACUAUGUGACAAACAUUUAGAAAACUACACAAAGUUAUAACCCGACCACUCACAGAGGCCAAACACGGUCAAGACCGGGAAUUUCCCCGG